ACAGUCCUUUUUAAAAAAAUAUUUUAUGUAGAGACGGUGUUGCUAAAUUGCUUAGGGCCUCACUAAGUUGCUGAGGCUGGUUUUGAAUUCAUGAUCCUCCUGCCUCAGCCUCCCAAGUUGCAUUUAGGGAUUACGGGCAUGCGCCACCACCCCUGGCCAGUACCUCAUUCUUCAAGGACUUUUGUGCUGUGGUGCCGGGGCGGGGGAAUCCAGGGCCUUGCACAUGCUAGGCAAGCACUCCACCACUGAGCCACAAAGGCUUUUGUGAUUCAUGACGUCAUUUGCCAGUCUUAAAAUUUCGUGAAAUAGGAGUGUGCCAGUAGGCCUCACUUCCAUUGACCAUACGAGGAAAUGAGGCACGACGGGGCCAGAACGGGGGCCAGAACCGUAGUCUCUGGACUCUGACUCCUUUCCUGACUGAGGAAGGGCGAGGGACGGGAAGUCAGGCUGGGUUUCAGGUACCCUAAGGAAGGAGCGGGUGCUCUUACCCAGGGGAACCUACAGCUCCCCAGAGCAGGCAGGGACAUGAAGGAGCAGAAGCCAUCCCCUUAUGUUGCAAAGCCAACAGCCCAGGAAGUCCGGAGCUGCCCCAGGCCACAGGGUCAGUGAGUGACCUGGCCCUGCAGUGUGGGCUCCUCAGUCUGCGCAGUGUGGUCUAAGCCACCUGUGGGCCUUUGCUCUCCAGGGCCUGGGUGUGGAUGGAUCCAUCAGCAGAUGUCUGUGAGACCUCUGGGGAGUCACUUUGUUUUUAUUUAUGAGCAGCAAUGCUCAGCUCCCCGGCCAAAUGUGUGCAGGGAAGUAAGGACCAUGCUGUUGGGUCAGUGUUCUGUGGGGUUUAAAUGAGAUGAUGCACGCAACGUUCUCACUUGAACAGUGCCUGGCCCACAGUAAGUCCCCCUCCAAUAGUUUGAACCUUCAAACACUGUUUGUCUGUACAGCUAUGGCUAACUAUGCUCUCACCCCUCAAAGGAGGCCAUUCUUCAGGCCUCAGCAUGAAGCUCUUGAGCAGUCUGGAUCCUUCCACAGCCCGAGAAGAGCGCCUCUUUGGUUUAAUUGACCUUGAGCCACCCUCAAGUCCAUUCUCGGAGUCUGGAGCCAGGAGGACCCCAUCUGCUCUGCAGCCUGCCAGGGACCUGUCAUCAGCAGCUGACUCUAUUCCCUGGCUCGUGGCCCCAGGUCACUAGGGAUCUGAACACCAAGAGGGGCUAGUCGCUGCCCACUGACGGAUGACUGAGAACAGGUGGGUCCUGAAAGCCAGCCAGCGCCUAUUUGUGGUGAGGCAAAGCCAAUCCAAGCCAAGAUUCUGGAGACACUAAAGAGAACAUUCCUGCCUCCAUUUCUAUCUGCUGGGAAGGCUGGGCACAGGUAACAGGCAGAACAAGAUGAGGAAACUGAGGUACAGAAUGAUAAGGGAAAUUGCCUAGGAUCACAAGGGCACACCAGAAGGAAGGGAGGAGUAUUGGGGAAGAUCCGAGCAAGACUCACUGCUUGGGAGUACAUGGAUGGACCAUUGGAUGCAGAGGUCGGAGAUGCAGACAGGCUCUCAAGGGCCUGGGAUGCCCACUUACGGCCUUCCAUAUACAGGCUGCAGGAAAGGACCCGGGACAGGUGGAGAAGAAAACAGCAGUGGCUGCCCUCUACCUUUCCUACUGGAGAGGUCCAAGGUAGGGCCAGCAAUGGGACCUGAGGUUCCUCCAUUCCCAGGCCUAGGUGUCUACCCCUUAAAACACACACAUGCUGUCUGGGGGCUUACGGACACCCCUAGCAUCUUACCACAAGCCUUGCGCAGUCCAGGCGGUUGGUGUGGCUGCGGCAGCGACAGCAGCGGGAGUAUCCAGUCUCUAGCAAAUUGAGGGUCUCACCCUGGCGACUGAGGUGGGAGUAGCCAGACUGUGGCAGGUUCCAGGGGCCGUACACCACAUGUUGACGUUCAGGAAGACAGAUCUGGUUCAGAUUGUCUGGAGAAGGCCGCCCCGGGGGGAAGCCAUCCAGCCGGUAUCCCCAGCCCCCCCGGAACCGGCCCUGUUGGCAGUGCUGGGCUGGAUUCCAAGAGUGAGGCUCUGGGGGAUCCUGGCGCAUGGGGGGAGCUGGCUUUUCUAGAAUGGGGAACAGAGGGGGGAGAGAGAGGAUGGGAGGAACUGACAAAGGCUGAGUGAACUGAGAGAAUUGAAAGAACUGGGGGUUAAGGAGAAAGGGUUAGGAGGGUAAGGGAAAAUGAAGAAAUUAAUCUGUGGUUCUUACCUUCGGAUUGACUAACUGAAAGGAAAAGAGAAUUGAAGCAUGAAAAGUGUCACCCUCAGAGCUGUCCCUUCCUCCCACGUUUCUGCUCCCUGUGCUGUUUCCCUGCUCCUCUCCCUGGAGUCCUGAGUGGUCAUGCAGGGGUAUGGACAGACAGAUGCUGUCACUCACCCUCUCUCUGCUGGGAAUGGAAAAUCUCCUCCUGGUAUGGGAAAGGUGGGUCUACUGGGGUAGAAGGAGAUGUAUAAGCAAAUAUCACAUUGGAAUGGGCAUUUGUAGAAGAUAGGCACCUGGCUAGCCCCCAUUCAUAAAGAGGAAUGCAGUAGAGAAGUGAAAAUAAAUGCUAUUUUUGUGUCAUUUAAUCAUAACUAUCAAACAGGUAUUAUUUCCUCAGUUUUAUACAUGAAGAAACUAAAGCUUGGUAAUUGAGUCAUGCCAGGUUACAUAAAUGGGAAAUGGCAGCGCCUGUUUUGUGUGCCUUCAAGGCCCUUACUCUAGGGUAAGGCUAGGUGAAGGUGGUGUGUGCAGAGGGAGUUACUUACUUUCCUUCUGUUCAGUACGGGGGUGGGGAGGGGGCAACUCUUCUUGGAGGGGGAUGGCUUCUGGAGGAAGAGGCGGAUCCACUGCAAGACAGAGGAGAGGGAGGACUGCAGACCAAAGUCAGCAAGAUCUUAGUGGGAAGUAGGAAAGUGAGCAAGCACUCACCUUUCUUUCCAUUAGAGAGGUGAGGAGGGGGCAGCUCUUCUUGGACAGGUAUGGCUUCUGGAGAGGGAGGGGACUGUACUACAGAAGGAGGAGUGUGUGAGCAGCUCACCCCUGCUAGCCAGUGGGGAGAGGGGUGGAGCUGCUUCCCUCCUUCCCGGUUUGAGAGCCAGAGUAUCUCAGAUUAGAGACUUGAGGGGGUAACUGAGAAGGGCAUGUGGGGCCUUACCUUCCCUCUGUCCCUCAAAAGGAAGGUCAUACUGGGAAGGGUCAAGGUGAUACACGGGGAAGCCUCGGGCCUGUGGUGGGGAGGGAGGUGCUGCGUAGCCAGCUAGAGACAAGAGGAGAAACUCUGAGUCCCCCUGCUCCUCCUGGACUCUCAGUUCCAUAGUUGCUCUUCUAAACUUCUUUCCUUGCUUGCACAGUGUGGAUUGAGCACUCAACCCCCGAGUCAUACCCCUACCUCUUUUAAAAAAGGCAGGAUCCUGAUAAAUUGCAGAGGCUGGCCUUGAAUUUGUGAUUCUCCUGACUCAGGUUCCCUAGGGGCUGGGAUUACAGAAGAGGGCCACCACACCUGGUCCCCGAACUCUUACCUUCCUGAAUGUACUCUGAUCUCAGCUCCUUCUGCCCUGGAGCCUCGUGACCUGGAGAGAGGAAAUUGGCGGUGGUUUUAAGGGGCCCUUUCUGGCUCUGAGCAAGGAAUGGGGAGACUGUGGAAGUCAAGAGUGUAGGAAGAUGACAAGACGUGGCAAUGACCUCUAUAAUAUACUUGUCCCAUGUCCCCUCAUCACCCCCACAAACACCUGGAUAUUAUUGACAGGGUUCUGAGAAAGCCCGGAUAUUCUGCCUGGCUCAGAGACUGAGUCUGAAGGUUGGGAGGGAGGUUCUGAUUUCCCCUGUCAGUGUCUCUACCUCCGGGGUUGUGGCUGCCCUUCCUGUAGCUGCUCUGCUGUGGUGCCCCUCUGGCUUCAGAGGAAGAAGCUGAACCUGAGCUGGUUGAGCCCUCACCUGCCCACCUCCUCCACCAAUCUCCUAUGCCAGGCCCUUUAACCCUCUGUAGGCCUUCUGAGAAGGAACUCCAGCCAGGAGUGUAAGUGCCUCACUUUAGCUAGUCUCAGCUCCUCCUCAAUUUAGGUCUCAAAUUUAGGACCUGCAGGAUGGGACAGGCAUAGAGAAGGGAAUCUCUGGUGACUGAUGUGCAGGAAAAAAAGAAGUUAGGAACUGGGAGGGAUGAUAGCGAGUAGGGCUUUACACACUAGCUCUCUUGCCCCUCUCGGCAGUUUCCCUCCAGAGUUCCGUUUUGUUGAGGCAUCAAAGCAGAGUGUGUUUAUGCCCAGCAGUGGGUGAGACUGAGUGGACAACCCCUUAACCCUUCCUCUAACCAGACAGUGAGUCAGGCAAGGCUCUCUGGGUCAGCAAACCGGUUUUGAGCAGCCUGGGGGCCCCUUUCCCCGCUUCACCUGCCUCGGAGUCCCUCCACCACAUACCUCCUCCCCAGGCCGAGUUCCCUUCCCUCUGUGAAUCCACUUACCCGCUCAGUUGCCUACUUGAAUCCAAUUUUAUUUCUUAUCAGUAACCUCUAGGAACCCCUCUCUGUCUGCUCCCGCCUCCCUGGUUAAAAGGUCCAGUUGGCCAGGCCAACCUUGGGCCUGCUCAGAAGAGGCCAAGUCAUCCUGCUAGUGAUGAGCUGCCUAGCCAGAGUCCUUCCCCAGUGCUGACCCCACCCCUACUCACCUCCCUCAGAAGUGGCAGAGGCGACAGCCAAACAGGCCAAGACCAAGGCUACUCUGGCCAUGGUCCCCAUCCUGGAACAAGGACUGGUCACCGGCCACCUAAAAGCUGGGUUGUCUCAGGCAGACCUGGAUGUGAAGGAAGGGCUGUGCUGCAGGAAUCCUGCUGCUCCGGCUGUUGCUACUGCUAUUGUGAACUUCAGGGCCAGCUCUGGCUCCCUUUUAUAUGUUGCCUGUUGUUAUCUCCCGCCCCCUUCAGCUUCCUGCCAUGACUCAGUGCAGCUGCUCCUCCUUUAGCAGCCACUCCUCCCAAACUCAUCCUGAAGCCUCCUUGGAGGACUGAGAAGAAUGAAGGUGAUGGGAGGAAGUAUUCCUAGGACCUUAAGAGAGACCCGUUCAGAUCAUGGAGCAGCAGACAUCUGGGCCCUUAGUUCAUGCCUCACUUUUACGUCUGCAUGCUGCCUCCUGUGGAACAGGGACCUGACAACCUAUGGAACUGGGUCUAGGGAACCAGGGCACUAAGGAACUAACAUUGGGAACAGGAUAGCUGCCUAAGGUAGCUCCCUACCAGUGAGAGUUGUCCCCAACUCUGGGCAAGGGUAACAAAGUGGAACUCCCAUGGAUUGAACUCAGGGGCACCUGACCACUGAGCCACAUCCCCAGCCCUUUUUUGUUAUUUAUUUAGAGACAGGGUCUACUGAGUUGCUCAGCACACUACUUUUUGCUGAGGCUGGCUUUGAACUCAUUAUCCUCCUGCCUCAGCCUCCAGAGCCGCUGGGAUUACAGGCGUGCGCCUAGCAGCCCUUUUGAGAUAGUGAGACCCUAAGUUGUUGAGGCUGGGGCUUUGAACUUGUGAUUCUCCUGCUCAGCCUCCUGAGCUCCCAUUCCCAGCCAGUGUGGAACUCCCUUUUGUCCUUCUUUCAGGAGUCAGAGAUCAGACACAAAUAUAUAGCAGCUUCAAGUUUAUUUUUUCCAUUUCAUUCUUCGUCACAUCCAAACACCAUAUCUUCCCUCCCGCUGUGGGGUCCCCAAACCAAGUCUCUUUUUGCAUUGCUGGGAAUAGAACUCAGGACCUCAUGCUUGCUAGGCAAAUGCUUUGCCACUGAACUGCCUCCCCAGCCCCCAAGUCUUUUCAGGAGAGCAGAUACAUGCAAUUCUGAGGAUUCUGGGGGACUCCAGGCUGUUAGUAGGGCUCGGGUUUAUCAGGGAGGCUGACAACUCUUGCAGGUCUCUGUCUCAUGUAUGAACAAAGCUCAGAAGAUUUCCUCAGCAUUGGGGACCCUGGUAUUCUGUAGCUCCAGCAGCCGUUGCACAGCCUUGGUCAAGUCCCACUCCCCAAGUCGGCGAUUACUGCGAGUCCGUAUGUUCACUGUUCUCUUACUCUGCUCUUGCUGGCCAACCACUGCAGGAAGAGGAAGGGAGGUUUGGGAAUCUCAGGACAAAGUCACCGACAUGGGAUAUUUCCUUUUGCUUUGCAGAAACUUUGCGGACUUAAAUCUUUAGGAAGGGUGGAAGCAGAGUCUAGAUAUGGUUUAAAGAAUAUAUUUAGCUGUGCCUUCUCUCCAGUUCACUGCUCAUCCUGAGAAGAUAAGGAAUGCGGAGCCUGGAACAUUAUUAUCAUUUCUGGUCAGGAGCCCCAGGGUCAGAGAUACUAGAGUCAGCCAGAGAGAGCCAGACAGACCAAGAACUAGAUACAGAGAAAUGGUAGGUGGGACUGAGAAAUGUGGGGCAAGCAGUGGGGUGGGAGGCAGAGGUAGAGGAAGGGGAAGACAGCAGGACUGGGACACAUGCGCAAGUCCAUGGACUGUGGGGUGGCUUGCUCCAGGUGCUGGUAGGUGAGGGGCGUACGCCAAACUAGAGAAUCAGGUGGAGGAAUUUCUGUUCCUUAUCUUCAAGAGCUCUGAACUGUGGAGAGUGAAGAGAGCAAGGGAGUACUAGACUUUUCUCCUUAAAGCUUUCUCCUUAAUCCUUAGGGCUGACUCCAUUCACGUGCAGAAUAAACAAGGCUAAUUAAUUAAUGCCUCACUAACCUUCCGGUCCCCUUUCUCUUUGAUAUUUCCUUUGUUAAUUAACCCCAAAGAACCCCCCUAGGGUGGGGUUAAUAAGAGGAAAACUGUUCUGAGGGACAGAAGUGGUUGUGAGGAGGCACAGGGUAAAGGAACUUAAAGAAUGAGAGACCCAGCUCCGAGGUUCUGGGCUGCCUCUCUCUUACCAAAUUGGAAAUUGUAGUGGGCGAGCUGGGCCCGGCGCACUCUCCGGCUGAGAGUCACUCCAGAAUCAGCAUCCAGGUCGCUGACAAGGCCUGCAGCCUGCAGAUUUUGUUGAAUCUGGGACACAUGUUUGGUGACAAGAAAUAAAUUCAAUGGAAGACUGAGGAGCUAGGACAGUCAAACAUCCUUCUUCCUUGGUCUGCCCCACUUCCUAUCCCUCAUCCCCUGCCUCAGUGCUCCCCAUAAUAAAAAUUAUCUUUUUCCUCAUCUCAUUGCUAUACUGAAGCCUCCUCUCCAUCCCCAACCCACAACUUCUGUGUCGACUCCUACUGGAGAAAGCCCUCCAUUAUCCCCUGGACUUUGCCUGCUGCUUGCCCUCACCUCGGGUACCACCCAUAUUCUCAAUUCUCUUUAGAAAGGAAAAAUAAAACCAGCUUUACCCAA
Molecule: non-coding RNA, 7324 nt
Organism: Ictidomys tridecemlineatus (thirteen-lined ground squirrel)
Lineage: Eukaryota; Metazoa; Chordata; Mammalia; Rodentia; Sciuridae
Source: RefSeq, a predicted model, not a curated record